UGUGAAGAUUAUUGAUUGGUAUCCAGCCGC
This 30-nucleotide non-coding RNA is filed under the name Rattus norvegicus (Norway rat). Lineage: Eukaryota; Metazoa; Chordata; Mammalia; Rodentia; Muridae. The record is from RNAcentral.